GUGAACGCAGAAGGGCUGGAAGAUGAAGCAGACUGCAGUUGGUUCUCGCUGACACGCUCCACCAAGGAGGACCCGUGUGAGGAGAAAAUGCACCUGCUGCUGCUGUUCUAUCUCCUCUGCCGGCUCGCAGGCUCAUCUGCCAUCACUGGCCCAGAAGCAGUGAGCGGCCCAGAGGGAGACUCGUUGACUGUGAAGUGUCAAUACAGCCCUGGGUGGGAGACGUAUGCGAAGUGGUGGUGCCGAGGAGCUGCUUGGAGCAGCUGCAAGUUCGUCGUUAAAACCACUGAACCAGAGAAGGAGGUGAAGAAGGGCCGCGUGUCCAUCAGGGACAAUAGGAAAAGCCGCACCAUCGCCGUGACCAUGGAGAAGCUCAGGCUAAACGAUGCAGACUCUUACUGGUGUGGGAUUGAGAAAUUUGGAAUUGACCUUGGGGUCCGAGUUAAAGUGACCAUUAACCCAGCACCCAGAGCAGUGCCGGCCACCACUCCUGCCACCUCUGCUAUCAACGUGUUCACAGUGUCGGUCAACCUGGAAGAGACCAGUGACUCCCUGGCUGUGACCAGCCCCGACUCCAACAGCGGCAGUGUGUUCCUGAAGGCCAACAUCCUCCUUCCCUUCAUCUUUGCUGUGCUGCUUCUUCUCUUGAUGGUGACCUCACUUGUGGUUUGGAGAAUGUUGAAACAACAGAAGAAAGCUGCUGAGAUAUCCCCAGAGCAGGCGCUUCAGCCCAAGGAGGGCGACAUCUGCUACGCAAACCUGAGCCUGCAGCAGACUGAAAACUCUGGGUCGUCCCAGAAGAAGGCCUCCACGAGGUCCUCUUCCCCCGCCCAGGCCAACACGGAGGAAGUGGAGUAUGUCACCAUGACUCCCUUUCUCAGGGAGGACAUUGCCCGUGCAGCUCUGUCUUUGGAAACCUCAGAUCAAGAGCCAACCUAUAGCAACAUGGAGCACCUCAUCACCCGCAUUCCCAGCAGGAGCCAUGAGGAACCCACGGAAUACAGCGCCAUCAGGAAGCCUUAGCCUGCGUUCCAGGGGCCCCUCUCAGUCCCACUCGAGGCCUCUGAGAGGGAGGCAAGAAGGUCACAGAGGAGAAGACAGUGUGAUGGUGGGAGCAAAGGUCGGAGUGAUGCAGCCAGGGCCCGCAGAACGCCGCAGCCUCCAGGAGCUGAAGAGGCAGGAACGGAUCCUCCCCAGAGCCCCCGGAAGGAGCCAGCCCGGCUGACGUCUUGACUUUAGCCCAGUGAAACUGAUUUCAUACUUCUGGUCUCCAGAAUUGAAGAAUGUGCUGCUUGCCUAAGGUGGCUCUAAGGGCCCAUCUCGACACUUGGCCUAUUCUCCUUGCCUUCAUGUUAAUUACCAAAGCCAUCAGAUAGCUGGUCUACAUUAUGCAGCGUUCAUCCUAAGUUAACAAAUCUAUGCAACUCUUCCUGUAUUAAUACGACUUUUCUCCCCCGGUAAACCUGCAAGCCAAUUGCUUAA
Aethalodelphis obliquidens (Pacific white-sided dolphin) is the source of this 1479-nucleotide RNA transcript. It is a transcript of the gene named CMRF35-like molecule 1, with no coding region annotated. The record is from RefSeq and is a predicted model, not a curated record. NCBI's taxonomy places the organism in Eukaryota, Metazoa, Chordata, Mammalia, Artiodactyla, Delphinidae. The transcript is spliced from 9 exons.